AAUCAACGGCUGGCGGCGUGCCUAACACAUGCAAGUCGCACGAGAAAGGGGAGCGAAUCCCUGAGUAAAGUGGCGCACGGGUGAGUAACACGUGAAUCAUCUACCUCCGAGUGGGGAAUAACUGAGAGAAAUCUUAGCUAAUACCGCAUAACACUUACGAGUCAAAGCAGCAAUGCGCUUGGAGAGGAGUUCGCGGCCGAUUAGUUAGUUGGCGGGGUAAGG
RNAcentral lists this ribosomal RNA (222 nucleotides) under uncultured bacterium. Its description in RNAcentral is "partial 16S ribosomal RNA". It matches the Rfam family "Bacterial small subunit ribosomal RNA", at positions 35 to 262 of the family's 1533-position model. The record is from RNAcentral.